GACGAACGCUGGCGGCGUGCUUAACACAUGCAGGUCGAACGGAAAGGCCCUGCUUUUGUGGGGUGCUCGAGUGGCGAACGGGUGAGUAACACGUGAGUAACCUGCCCUUGACUUUGGGAUAACUUCAGGAAACUGGGGCUAAUACCGGAUAGGAGCUCCUGCUGCAUGGUGGGGGUUGGAAAGUUUCGGCGGUUGGGGAUGGACUCGCGGCUUAUCAGCUUGUUGGUGGGGUAGUGGCUUACCAAGGCUUUGACGGGUAGCCGGCCUGAGAGGGUGACCGGCCACAUUGGGACUGAGAUACGGCCCAGACUCCUACGGGAGGCAGCAGUGGGGAAUAUUGCACAAUGGGCGGAAGCCUGAUGCAGCAACGCCGCGUGCGGGAUGACGGCCUUCGGGUUGUAAACCGCUUUCGCCUGUGACGAAGCGUGAGUGACGGUAAUGGGUAAAGAGGCACCGGCUAACUACGUG
RNAcentral lists this ribosomal RNA (468 nucleotides) under uncultured bacterium. RNAcentral describes it as "partial 16S ribosomal RNA". It matches the Rfam family "Bacterial small subunit ribosomal RNA", at positions 28 to 507 of the family's 1533-position model. The record is from RNAcentral.